UACGUAGGGUGCAAGCGUUGUCCGGAAUUAUUGGGCGUAAAGAGCGUGUAGGCGGCCCGACCAGUCCGCUGUGAAAGUCCAGGGCUCAACCCUGGAAUGCCGGUGGAUACUGUCGGGCUAGAGUCCGGAAUGGGCGAGUGGAAUUCCUGGUGUAGCGGUGAAAUGCGCAGAUAUCAGGAGGAACACCAAUGGCGAAGGCAGCUCGCUGGGACGGUACUGACGCUGAGACGCGAAAGCGUGGGGAGCAAACAGG
This 253-nucleotide ribosomal RNA is filed under the name uncultured bacterium. RNAcentral's name for it is "partial 16S ribosomal RNA". It matches the Rfam family "Bacterial small subunit ribosomal RNA", at positions 524 to 776 of the family's 1533-position model. The record is from RNAcentral.